RNAcentral lists this transfer RNA (76 nucleotides) under Candidatus Berkelbacteria bacterium. RNAcentral's name for it is "tRNA-Ala". It matches the Rfam family "tRNA". Rfam says of the family: Transfer RNA (tRNA) molecules are approximately 80 nucleotides in length. Lineage: Bacteria; Candidatus Berkelbacteria. The record is from RNAcentral.
GGGCCCAUAGCUCAGCUGGUAGAGCGCUUCCAUGGCAUGGAAGAGGUCAGGAGUUCGAAUCUCCUUGGGUCCACCA